UCCCUGGUGGCUUAGACGGUAAAGCGUCUGUCUAGAAUGCGGGAGACCUGAGUUCGAUCCUUGGGUUGGGAA
RNAcentral lists this transfer RNA (72 nucleotides) under Bos taurus (domestic cattle). It matches the Rfam family "tRNA". Rfam says of the family: Transfer RNA (tRNA) molecules are approximately 80 nucleotides in length. The record is from Rfam by way of RNAcentral. RNAcentral also lists the same sequence under 3 other names. Lineage: Eukaryota; Metazoa; Chordata; Mammalia; Artiodactyla; Bovidae.